Long non-coding RNA from Mus musculus (house mouse), 1437 nucleotides. RefSeq annotates it as predicted gene, 40016. The transcript is spliced from 3 exons. Lineage: Eukaryota; Metazoa; Chordata; Mammalia; Rodentia; Muridae. The record is from RefSeq and is a predicted model, not a curated record.
AACUGUGAACUGGCAGAGGCAAGUGCGCCCUUCAUUACGCAAUUAUCCAUAAUUAGGUGCUCAUUACUACUUUAUCAUCGGGGAGUCAGCACCCACCUGUGCAAGACUGUCGUGAAGCAUGGCAAGCCAGUGAAACAGUGCCUCGCUUGUUCGCUAGGAACGUGACAUCUCAAGCCAGCAGUUCCAGCCUGUGCGCGUAAGGAGCCCAUCUGAAGUGACACGCAGACGGGUGCGGGCCAUGGAGCCAAGCGUUUGAGUGUGCAGAUGGCAUACUGCUGUGUUCACUUUGGGGCUCGCUGGCAGUAGAGGGGCAGUCAAGAAGAAGGGGAGGGGAAAUGGGGAGCAGAGGCUUCGUUCUCAGUGCGGGAGAGCGAAGCUGCCUAACACUGAGGUAGAGAAAUGGCUGACACCCAGACCAUGCCUUAAUUUUUCUUUGCAGAAGAGACAGACAAACCCUACGGGACUUCUGCAAGAUGCCUUCUGGACCCUAAUGUCAGUCAAACGUCACUGAGGUGGAUAUCUCCGUGCUGAGAAGCUCUGAAAUCCAAAGCUCGCUGAGCAUUGGCAUGACACAUGGGGCCGUGGUACACCUGCCUUCCUGUGGGUGGAUCUCAGAAAUGCAGGCACAUCGACACUGUAUAAAAUUAUCUCAAGGCUGUGUGGGAAGGUCUGUGAUGGCUGAUUUUGGUUGUCAAGUUAGGAUUACACCUGGAACCAACUAAAACCCAAGUAUGCCUGGGCAUGCCUGUUGACUGAUUUUCUUGAUUGGAUCAUUCGAGAUCUGAAGACCCACACCACAUCUAGGCCACCUCCUCUGGACGUUGACCACAUGGAAGGACUUGGAAGAAGGAAGCUUUUUGUCUUUCACCCACUUGCCCUCACUCCUGCUGGCACGUUCAUCUAUUCCAUUUCUUUGCUGGAAUUACAACCUACUUCUUUGGGGCUCUAACACAGACCAAGACCAGAAGCUCUUUAGGAGUUGCCCAGGACUCCAGCACCAGAUUGGGACUGAACUGCUGAGACAUCCAAUCUCAGGAACUAAACGACUACUGGAUUCUUAGCCUUCCUAUUGAGAGAUAGCAAUUGCUAAACUACCUGGACCACAAACUGCAGGCAAUUCUAACAAUUCCAUCUUUAACAUAUAGAACAGAUAUAGAUGUAGAUCUAGUCAUUUUCUCAGUUUUUUCCUCCGGAGCACCUUAACUAACACAAUGACCAUAGUAUAAAGUACAUAGACCAUUUGCCUUUAUCAGAUAAAUGAGACUUUGAAUAUAAACUGGGCCAUUUGGGAGGGGAUUGGAUUGGAGAUGGGAUGAGAAGGGGGAUGGGCAGCAGAAAUCAGGUGUAGGGAGGGCCCAGAAGAGUGAAUGGAAAUCAGCUGGGGUAGGGAUAUGCCAGAGACCUAGGAAGGGGGAGACUCCAGGGAGUCUAUGAGGG